AUUGAACGCUGGCGGCAUGCUUUACACAUGCAAGUCGAACGGUAACAGGCCUUCGGGUGCUGACGAGUGGCGAACGGGUGAGUAAUGCAUCGGAACGUACCCAGAGGUGGGGGAUAACGCAGCGAAAGCUGUGCUAAUACUGCAUGUGAUCUGAGGAUGAAAGCGGGGGACCGAGCAGCAAUGUUUGGCCUCGCGCCUUUGGAGCGGCCGAUGUCGGAUUAGCUAGUUGGUGGGGUAAAGGCCUACCAAGGCGUCGAUCCGUAGCUGGUCUGAGAGGACGACCAGCCACACUGGGACUGAGACACGGCCCAGACUCCUACGGGAGGCAGCAGUGGGGAAUUUUGGACAAUGGGCGCAAGCCUGAUCCAGCAAUGCCGCGUGCGGGAAGAAGGCCUUCGGGUUGUAAACCGCUUUUGGCAGGAACGAAACGGUGUCCGCUAAUACCGGGCGCUAAUGACGGUACCUGCAGAAUAAGCACCGGCUAACUACGUG
RNAcentral lists this ribosomal RNA (492 nucleotides) under uncultured bacterium. RNAcentral describes it as "partial 16S ribosomal RNA". It matches the Rfam family "Bacterial small subunit ribosomal RNA", at positions 30 to 507 of the family's 1533-position model. The record is from RNAcentral.